UUUUAGAGUUGUGAUCUGGCUCAGGAUGAACGCUGGCGGCGUGCCUAAUACAUGCAAGUCGAGCGAAUGGAUUAAGAGCUUGCUCUUAUGAAGUUAGCGGCGGACGGGUGAGUAACACGUGGGUAACCUGCCCAUAAGACUGGGAUAACUCCGGGAAACCGGGGCUAAUACCGGAUAACAUUUUGAACUGCAUGGUUCGAAAUUGAAAGGCGGCUUCGGCUGUCACUUAUGGAUGGACCCGCGUCGCAUUAGCUAGUUGGUGAGGUAACGGCUCACCAAGGCAACGAUGCGUAGCCGACCUGAGAGGGUGAUCGGCCACACUGGGACUGAGACACGGCCCAGACUCCUACGGGAGGCAGCAGUAGGGAAUCUUCCGCAAUGGACGAAAGUCUGACGGAGCAACGCCGCGUGAGUGAUGAAGGCUUUCGGGUCGUAAAACUCUGUUGUUAGGGAAGAACAAGUGCUAGUUGAAUAAGCUGGCACCUUGACGGUACCUAACCAGAAAGCCACGGCUAACUACGUGCCAGCAGCCGCGGUAAUACGUAGGUGGCAAGCGUUAUCCGGAAUUAUUGGGCGUAAAGCGCGCGCAGGUGGUUUCUUAAGUCUGAUGUGAAAGCCCACGGCUCAACCGUGGAGGGUCAUUGGAAACUGGGAGACUUGAGUGCAGAAGAGGAAAGUGGAAUUCCAUGUGUAGCGGUGAAAUGCGUAGAGAUAUGGAGGAACACCAGUGGCGAAGGCGACUUUCUGGUCGUAACGACACGAGCGAAAAGUCUAAAAA
RNAcentral lists this ribosomal RNA (778 nucleotides) under Bacillus cereus. RNAcentral's name for it is "bacterial SSU rRNA". It matches the Rfam family "Bacterial small subunit ribosomal RNA", at positions 1 to 767 of the family's 1533-position model. The record is from RNAcentral. Lineage: Bacteria; Bacillati; Bacillota; Bacilli; Caryophanales; Bacillaceae.